RNAcentral lists this non-coding RNA (829 nucleotides) under Vitis vinifera (wine grape). Its description in RNAcentral is "Eukaryotic large subunit ribosomal RNA". It matches the Rfam family "Eukaryotic large subunit ribosomal RNA", at positions 1065 to 1873 of the family's 3401-position model. Lineage: Eukaryota; Viridiplantae; Streptophyta; Magnoliopsida; Vitales; Vitaceae. The record is from Rfam by way of RNAcentral.
AUAGAGAAACACAUUAUAGAGAUGCAUAAUGCCAUGUAACUAACCCACUAAGAGCCAAAACCCAUUUUUAUCCAAUAUUGCUAGAACAAAAGUGGACUAUUUAUUGGUAAGCAGAACUGGCAAUGUAGGAUGAACUGGAAAUCGGGUUACAGUGUCCAACUGCGCACUAACCUAGAACCCACUAAGGGUGCUAGUCGAUUAAGAUAGCAGGAUGGUGGUUAUGGAAGUCGAAAUCCGCUAAGGAAUGUGUAACAACUCACCUGCCAAAUCAACUAGACUUGAAAAUGGAUGGUGUUGAAGCAUGCGACCUAUACCUGGUCGUUGAGGCAAGGGCUAGGUCUUAAUGAGUAGAGAACGUCGUGGUCGUUACAAAACCUGGGGCGUGAGCCUGGGCAAAGCAAUCGUUGGUGUGGAUCUUUGUGGUAGUAGCAAAUAUUCAAAUGAGAACUUUGAAGGCCAAAAGGGGGAAAGGUUCCAUGUGAACAACACUUGCACAUGGGUUAGUUGAUCCUAAGAGACAAUGGAAACUUGUCCUACAAUGUGCAAUGUGCUAGCUUAGAAAGGGAAUCGGGUUAACAUUCUUGAACUGGGAUACGACAGCUAACGACAACGUUAGGAAGUCCAGAGACAUCGUCGAGGGCCCCAGGAAGAGUUAUCUUUUCUAUUUAACAAUUUGCCCACCUUGGAAAUGGCUUAGUUAGAGGUAGGGUCCUGUGGUUGGAAAAACAUCGCACAUCGUGUGGUGUCCAACGUGCCCUUGACAACCCUUAAAAAUCUAGAGGACCAAGUACUUCCCAAGCCCGAUCAUAUUCUUUUUCAAUUUCUAGCU